RNAcentral lists this ribosomal RNA (253 nucleotides) under uncultured bacterium. RNAcentral's name for it is "partial 16S ribosomal RNA". It matches the Rfam family "Bacterial small subunit ribosomal RNA", at positions 524 to 776 of the family's 1533-position model. The record is from RNAcentral.
UACGAAGGGGGCUAGCGUUGCUCGGAAUCACUGGGCGUAAAGCGCACGUAGGCGGGUUCUUAAGUCAGGGGUGAAAUCCUGGAGCUCAACUCCAGAACUGCCUUUGAUACUGGGAAUCUCGAGUCCGGGAGAGGUGAGUGGAACUGCGAGUGUAGAGGUGAAAUUCGUAGAUAUUCGCAAGAACACCAGUGGCGAAGGCGGCUCACUGGCCCGGUACUGACGCUGAGGUGCGAAAGCCAGGGGAGCAAACGGG